AUUCUGUCAAUAUAUAAAGAGGAUUCUGAAAUUUCAUUCUAUACAGAUAAAGAGGAGGGUAUCAUAUUGGACUUACAUAUAGCUGAUACUUUUGUGACUGAUCAUCAAAAUGAAGGAUUUGUUAAUUUGCUUACUUUUUCUGAUUAUUGUUGAAGUAAUAUCAGCCUAUUACGUGCCCUCCUGGUAUGGUGGUAACCCCUGGCAGCAACAGAGAGGAUAUUUUCCAGGGUUUAACCCACGGGCAUACUUCUUGAAGGAGUUUUAUGAUGAAGUUUUCGACUAAUUACAAUAUAAGUCAGGUUGCCAUCUUGGAUUGAAACAUGUUGCCUUUUACAAGUUGUUCAUAGUGUCCCGAUUAUAUUUAUAUAAAUGAAAUAAAUAAAUUUUGUUUUUUGUU
This is a long non-coding RNA of Saccostrea cuccullata (small rock oyster), 397 nucleotides long. RefSeq lists it as uncharacterized. The transcript has 4 exons. Lineage: Eukaryota; Metazoa; Mollusca; Bivalvia; Ostreida; Ostreidae. The record is from RefSeq and is a predicted model, not a curated record.